UGCCCAAGAGACUGGGAUAACACCUGGAAACAGAUGCUAAUACCGGAUAACAACACUAGACGCAUGUCUAGAGUUUAAAAGAUGGUUCUGCUAUCACUCUUGGAUGGACCUGCGGUGCAUUAGCUAGUUGGUAAGGUAACGGCUUACCAAGGCAAUGAUGCAUAGCCGAGUUGAGAGACUGAUCGGCCACAUUGGGACUGAGACACGGCCCAAACUCCUACGGGAGGCAGCAGUAGGGAAUCUUCCACAAUGGACGCAAGUCUGAUGGAGCAACGCCGCGUGAGUGAAGAAGGGUUUCGGCUCGUAAAGCUCUGUUGGUAGUGAAGAAAGAUAGAGGUAGUAACUGGCCUUUAUUUGACGGUAAUUACUUAGAAAGUCACGGCUAACUACGUGCCAGCAGCCGCGGUAAUACGUAGGUGGCAAGCGUUGUCCGGAUUUAUUGGGCGUAAAGCGAGUGCAGGCGGUUCAAUAAGUCUGAUGUGAAAGCCUUCGGCUCAACCGGAGAAUUGCAUCAGAAACUGUUGAACUUGAGUGCAGAAGAGGAGAGUGGAACUCCAUGUGUAGCGGUGGAAUGCGUAGAUAUAUGGAAGAACACCAGUGGCGAAGGCGGCUCUCUGGUCUGCAACUGACGCUGAGGCUCGAAAGCAUGGGUAGCGAACAGGAUUAGAUACCCUGGUAGUCCAUGCCGUAAACGAUGAGUGCUAAGUGUUGGGAGGUUUCCGCCUCUCAGUGCUGCAGCUAACGCAUUAAGCACUCCGCCUGGGGAGUACGACCGCAAGGUUGAAACUCAAAGGAAUUGACGGGGGCCCGCACAAGCG
RNAcentral lists this ribosomal RNA (818 nucleotides) under Lactobacillus gasseri. RNAcentral describes it as "bacterial SSU rRNA". It matches the Rfam family "Bacterial small subunit ribosomal RNA", at positions 127 to 931 of the family's 1533-position model. The record is from RNAcentral. Lineage: Bacteria; Bacillati; Bacillota; Bacilli; Lactobacillales; Lactobacillaceae.